UUUUGGGGCCUUUGCCACUGUGAAGGCUGGUGCCUUCUCUUCUUUUCUCUCUUCUUGGAGCUGAGUACGGUGCUAACAUCUUUUCUCUAACUCUAACUCAAUCUGGUUCAAAUCCGCUUCAGAGAGUUAAAAUGAGUGCUGUGGAUUCCGCGGCCUGUAGUACUUCAGUCUCUCACUAAUCGGGCUUCGUGACGACGUGCCCUAGUGCCUACAUGCUGGAGUCCAGGGGGGUGUGAUGUCUUGUCGUGUCUGUCUCACUUUCUCUCUGUGCAGAUGAAAAAGGUGCUGUUUUUUUCUUGUUGAUUUGUUUGUUUGCUUUUCCCCGCGGUCCGGGCUUGCUCUGGAAAAACAGAAUAGAGAGAAAGGUAAAUAAAGUUUUGGACCGUGAAGAAGUUGCUGUUAUUGAAAACACACAAAAAGCGGAGAAGCUGAGGUAGCUAUAUACCUGAAUGAUUCUUCUUCAGAGAGAAAGAGUUAUUUAUUUGGAGUUAUUUUCAUGCGACUCACAGUAACCUCAGUGAAAUGCUUGGGGAUCCCUGUUUUAGCUGUAGUUGUCCUUUCUGCUCUAUGGAAUUGGUACAGAAAGCUCUUCUUUAUCACUACACUUUCACGACUUCUAGCAGUUGGACAUUCGCCAGGUGCAUAGUGCCGGCACAGGUAUUGUUAGAAUGUUUCCAAAGUUAACUCCUACCCCAGGAGUCUUGCCUGGGAGGUGUGUGGAGUAACGCGGGGGCAGGUUCCACCUCCAGAGCACUGGAUCGGAUCGAUCUUCACACUUUUAUCAGCCCUACGUUUAGACAUCAGUGUCGCUACACUUGACAGCUGGGCCAAGAGACUUUACAUGCUUCCCUAUUCUGCUCACUGCAGAGCGUGGUUCGUAUCCAGACUGAACCGUUGCCAGUGUGGAGACCGUGACAUGUCAAGGCCUCAACUCAUAAACUCCUCUUUUCUCAUUUUCUAGACUCUUAUCCUCUCGUUAUCUCCGAAUUAUCCACACCGCGGUUGGGGCGAGCUGUACGUAGUCUGAUUGCCUGAACUUGACUACCAGCUCAUUUCAAUGUCAUAAUGCUACUUAUGAAGACCAGAAUAAGCCAUGGUACCUGUGGAGGCUUUUAACCUACUUUUUUAAAGAGCAAUUAAGUCUUAAUAAUAGUUUCGUGAAACAGCGGCAGUCAUUUUUGAAUGGAUGCCCUGGAUAGACACCAAAGUAUUCCAGGUGGUCUCAAAAUGGCCCAGUGUUUAUGUUCCUGUAAUAACAGUCUCCACUCUGAGAGUGUGAUGGCUCUUUUUCACUCUGGCCCCCUGAGCUCUCCUGUAAAGCUCUGUAAUCACCCAGGCGACCCCUACGUCUGACCGGGGUCACUCAGGCGGCUAGUCUGGAUGAAACACACUCCACAAAUACGGAUUGUCUGGCCAGGGCAGCACUGCACCACUGCACCCACUCAGAAAAGGCAGCUUGGCUCUUGACGGUGCCAUGCAGUGAAUCACAAUCCCACAGGUGGUUCCGAUUGAGGGGCAACUGUCUGGAGUUGGCUUUCAUUUCAACAUGAUAUUUCCAUUUCAAUUGUCUAUUUCAAAGGUGUUUAACUAUCAUCUGCAACUUUGACACGACUCUGGAAAUGAGGAAAGAGAUGUGGUCUGGAUGUCACAGUGAGUUCAUUAGCCUGAUAAAUGUUACAGUCAAUGUUACACUUCAUUUUGAAGGAAAAUAAAUCCACAGUAACCAACCUUCACAGUGGCACUGGUCAUUGAUAUAAUCUCUCCGAAUUUUGUAUUAUUAUUAUUUAUUUAUACUGUAAAGUUAUGAAUCCUGCAGUAGCUUUUUGUUUUUGAAAAACAUACAGAGAUUUGAUAUCCUUCCCUGUGUUCAUUAUUUUUUAUUUUUGCUUUGUUUAAAACAUACGAUUUUAUGGCCUAAAUUAUGAAUUUAUAACUGUGCUCCCUCUUUUGUAUUGUAAGUGAUCGCGUCUGCUCAAUGCUCUCUGUGUACCAACAGCACAAGCUGUGCUCCUCUUUGGGUCAAGGUCUGGCAAAAUUAAAACUAAUGUAAAACUGGCAAUGUGGUAAUUGUAUUUGCAAGGAAAAUGUGCAAUAUCCUUUUCUCAGAUGGUUCCAGGUUUCAGAGUAAAAAUUCAAUUUUACGUAUUUUUUGGGCUUUCCAGUCAAUUCCUCAGAUCACACUAAUGCACCCGGAUAUGAAAUGGCUGGAUUUUAUUUUGGUCUUGUCGCUCUUGUUUAUUUUAUGUCUCUGUUACACAAAUUUCCUCAGAAAAAAAGUUCUGGGUUAAACACAGGCACUUAUUCAGGUGUCCUUUUCCUUGUUCUCUUUUUUGUAUUAUGAUUAUUUAUUUCCAUUGCCACAUGAAAGGAGUUUUUGGUAGAGAACUGGGCUGGAAUUUGUUACACACAAUUAUUAAGGAUGUUUUUUUGUCAAAAACGUAAGUGUGUAUUUCAUCAAUAAAUGCCUUUAAAAGUG
Molecule: long non-coding RNA, 2476 nt
Organism: Oncorhynchus tshawytscha (Chinook salmon)
Lineage: Eukaryota; Metazoa; Chordata; Actinopteri; Salmoniformes; Salmonidae
Source: Ensembl